RNAcentral lists this ribosomal RNA (464 nucleotides) under Vreelandella stevensii. RNAcentral's name for it is "partial 16S ribosomal RNA". It matches the Rfam family "Bacterial small subunit ribosomal RNA", at positions 338 to 795 of the family's 1533-position model. Lineage: Bacteria; Pseudomonadati; Pseudomonadota; Gammaproteobacteria; Oceanospirillales; Halomonadaceae. The record is from RNAcentral.
CCUACGGUGAGCAGCAGUGGGGAAUAUUGGACAAUGGGCGAAAGCCUGAUCCAGCCAUGCCGCGUGUGUGAAGAAGGCCUUCGGGUUGUAAAGCACUUUCAGUGGGGAAGAAAGCCUUGGGGCUAAUACCCUCGAGGAAGGACAUCACCCACAGAAGAAGCACCGGCUAACUCCGUGCCAGCAGCCGCGGUAAUACGGAGGGUGCGAGCGUUAAUCGGAAUUACUGGGCGUAAAGCGCGCGUAGGCGGUCUGAUAAGCCGGUUGUGAAAGCCCCGGGCUCAACCUGGGAACGGCAUCCGGAACUGUCAGGCUAGAGUGCAGGAGAGGAAGGUAGAAUUCCCGGUGUAGCGGUGAAAUGCGUAGAGAUCGGGAGGAAUACCAGUGGCGAAGGCGGCCUUCUGGACUGACACUGACGCUGAGGUGCGAAAGCGUGGGUAGCAAACAGGAUUAGAUACCCCAUAGUC